AUUGAACGCUGGCGGCAUGCCUUACACAUGCAAGUCGAACGGAUCAGGGGAGCUUGCUCUUCUGGUUAGUGGCGAACGGGUGAGUAAUGCAUCGGAACGUACCCAGUAGUGGGGGAUAACGUAGCGAAAGUUACGCUAAUACCGCAUACGACCUGAGGGUGAAAGCAGGGGAUCGCAAGACCUUGCGCUAUUGGAGCGGCCGAUGUCGGAUUAGCUAGUUGGUAGGGUAAAAGCCUACCAAGGCGACGAUCCGUAGCUGGUCUGAGAGGACGACCAGCCACACUGGGACUGGGACACGGCCCAGACUCCUACGGGAGGCAGCAGUGGGGAAUUUUGGACAAUGGGGGAAACCCUGAUCCAGCCAUGCCGCGUGAGUGAAGAAGGCCUUCGGGUUGUAAAGCUCUUUCAGACGGAAAGAAAUCUUCCGGGCUAAUACCUCAGGAGGAUGACGGUACCGUAAGAAGAAGCACCGGCUAACUACGUGCCAGCCGCCGCCGUAA
Molecule: ribosomal RNA, 500 nt
Filed under: uncultured bacterium
Lineage: Bacteria
Description: partial 16S ribosomal RNA
Rfam family: Bacterial small subunit ribosomal RNA
Source: RNAcentral